UACGAAGGGGGCUAGCGUUGCUCGGAAUCACUGGGCGUAAAGCGCGCGUAGGCGGCUUCUUAAGUCAGGGGUGAAAUCCUGGAGCUCAACUCCAGAACUGCCUUUGAUACUGAGGAGCUUGAGUCCGGGAGAGGAGAGUGGAAUUUCGUGUGUAGGGGUGAAAUCCGUAGAUCUACGAAGGAACGCCAAAAGCGAAGGCAGCUCUCUGGGUCCCUACCGACGCUGGGGUGCGAAAGCAUGGGGAGCGAACAGG
Molecule: ribosomal RNA, 253 nt
Filed under: uncultured bacterium
Lineage: Bacteria
Description: partial 16S ribosomal RNA
Rfam family: Bacterial small subunit ribosomal RNA
Source: RNAcentral